AGCCACGCCUUGGAGAUGCACUAAAAAGUUUACACUCCUAGAUUACAGAGCUAAGGAAAACGGGGGCGCACCGACCUCCGCCUGCUCAUUGAACACCGUCGUUAUCGGCGCUAUUGAAAGUUAGUGGCAAGCCGGUGACAAGAACAAGCAGCGAAGGUCCCAAUGAAAAGAAAGAAUAGUGCUUGCGAGCGCUCCUCUUCUAAGCCGGAGAACUACACCAUUCUGUUUCGUUACUCAAAACACCUUUUGUUUCGUGAACCCUCUGAGCUCAAUCACAUCCCUCUGUUAACCCACCUGUAAAUCACCUGGGAUCCUAUCACAACAUGCAGUCC
This 332-nucleotide long non-coding RNA is filed under the name Elaeis guineensis (African oil palm). Its description in RNAcentral is "long non-coding RNA (EGUI_LNC011935)". Lineage: Eukaryota; Viridiplantae; Streptophyta; Magnoliopsida; Arecales; Arecaceae. The record is from RNAcentral.